RNAcentral lists this ribosomal RNA (253 nucleotides) under uncultured bacterium. Its description in RNAcentral is "partial 16S ribosomal RNA". It matches the Rfam family "Bacterial small subunit ribosomal RNA", at positions 524 to 776 of the family's 1533-position model. The record is from RNAcentral.
UACAGAGGUCUCAAGCGUUGUUCGGAUUCAUUGGGCGUAAAGGGUGCGUAGGUGGUGCUGCAAGUCUGGUGUGAAAUCUCGGAGCUCAACUCCGAAAUUGCACCGGAUACUGCGUGACUCGAGGACUGUAGAGGAGAUCGGAAUUCACGGUGUAGCAGUGAAAUGCGUAGAUAUCGUGAGGAAGACCAGUUGCGAAGGCGGAUCUCUGGGCAGUUCCUGACACUGAGGCACGAAGGCCAGGGGAGCAAACGGG